GAUCCGGUAGUUCAGCUGGUUAGAAUGCCGCCCUGUCACGGCGGAGGUCGCGGGUUCGAAUCCCGUCCGGAUCGCGA
RNAcentral lists this transfer RNA (77 nucleotides) under Kaistella solincola. RNAcentral describes it as "Chryseobacterium solincola tRNA-Asp". It matches the Rfam family "tRNA". From Rfam's summary of the family: Transfer RNA (tRNA) molecules are approximately 80 nucleotides in length. Their secondary structure includes four short double-helical elements and three loops (D, anti-codon, and T loops). RNAcentral also lists the same sequence under 1 other name. Lineage: Bacteria; Pseudomonadati; Bacteroidota; Flavobacteriia; Flavobacteriales; Weeksellaceae. The record is from RNAcentral.